Cercocebus atys (sooty mangabey) is the source of this 10494-nucleotide RNA transcript. It is a transcript of the gene named microtubule-associated protein RP/EB family member 1 pseudogene, with no coding region annotated. The record is from RefSeq and is a predicted model, not a curated record. The transcript has a single exon. NCBI's taxonomy places the organism in Eukaryota, Metazoa, Chordata, Mammalia, Primates, Cercopithecidae.
GCCAUGGCCUCCCAAAGUGCUGGGAUUACAGGCGUGAGCCACUGCACCCGGCCGAAAAACACUUUUUAAUACCUGCAGCGUAGCCUAUGCAUACAAUGUCUAUGAAGUCUACAAUAGUGCACAGCAAUGUCCCAGGCCUUGACAGUCACUCACCACCCACUCACUGACUCACCUACGGCAACUUCCAGUCCUUCAAGCUCCAUUCAUGGCAAGUGCCUUACACAGGUGUACCAUCUUUUUUUACACCGUAUUUUUACUGUAUCUUUUCUAUGUUUAGAUAGGUUUAGAUACACAAAUACUGACCACCGUUGCCACUGCCCACAGUAUUCCAUGCAAUGACAUGCUGUCCAGGUCUGUAGCCUAGAAGCAAGAGGCUGCAUCAUUCAGCCUAGGUGUGCAUUAGGCUAUCCCAUGUGAGUAGUAAGUCACUCUUCGAUGUUCCCCCAAUGAUGAAAUUACCCAAGGAUGCAUUUAUCAGAAUGUAUCCCUACUGUUAAGCAACACAUCUGUAUACAUACAUACAUAUAUUAAACUUUAUAACACAUUGCAGAUAGAUAUUACCCCAUUUCACAAAACAGAAAAAAAAAGCAGGUUUGGUAAAUUAAGAAACUUACUUAAAAUCACACAGCUGGUAAGUGGUGAAGCCAGGAUUAGAACAAAGGUCUGUGUAAAUACAACAAUGCUCUUCUUAAUUUCUCUGACACCAAGGUUUUAUGUUAUCAAAAUCAGCAAUAUUACACUACCCAGAUACUCCCCAGGGAGUCAGUCUGCUGAAACCCAGACCACCACAGGAAUUCCAGACCCAAGGGCUCCUUCCUCAGGAAAGCACAGGCAUUGAUGCUCCAUAAAGCUCAGGUGGGACUCCAUAGGCAAUUACUUGUUCCAGGUUCUCUUCCAGGAGGUUUUCUAGCCUUCCUACCAGACAUUCCUUACUCCCUCCCUGCCCCCAGGCAUGUCACUGUAAACGCUGGUGGCUUGUCUCUCAUCUCUUCGCUCCCAUCAUAAACCAUCUCCUAACAUGGUCCAGCAGCAGAAUGUUUCCCCUCCGGAGGUGUUUCUGCCCACUGUCUUGGCCUUUUCCGUAAUCUUCCAGAAGUUACUAUCUGGGUGGAGUCUGCUGCCAUGAAACAGUCAGAAGCCUGACAGGAGUUACUGAGUAUACUGGGGUUAGAGCAUUUGCUUUCCUAUCAGGUGAAGUAUUCAAGCUCAGACAUAGAACGUGGGUUCUAACAGUCCUACAGUAUUCUAGAUGUCCCAAUCGAUAACUUCAGUAUUUCUUCAUACCUCAAUCCAAUGCCUCUCCAUCUCACAUUCUAGCUAUUUCACUGGCUGCUAUAGGAUCAACUACGAUUGUUUGUAAAGCAUUUUAUGGACAAAGUCCAUUAUUAUUAUGGAGACCUAGCAUGCAGCAAUGAUUAAGAGCCCAGAGACUGGAUUAAAGGCUCUCUGAGUUUUGAAUCCUCUUCUUCCACUUAGAAGCAGGGUAAGCUUGGGCAGGCAGCUAAAUUUUUUGAGUUCCAGCUUCUAAAGUGUUUCAGACAUAAAAGGUGCUCAAUAAAGACACUGAUAGAAGGAAUGAAUGAAUGAAGGAAUCUGGCUUAUACUUUCUGCUCACCAAGUGUCUGCUGCAGCUGUCUUACAGCCAGGCUGAUAAUGAAUGAGUAAUAAUUAAAUGAGUUCACCUACACAAAACACUAGUCACUGGCCUGCCAUUUAGUCAGUACAAAAUAAAUGGUGACUAUUAUCCUUAACCCUAUUGUAAUUAAGUUUGCAAAAACUCAGAUAUAACAAUGACUUUGUCAAAUAAAAGGAUUUCAAAUGCUAAUACAGCUUUGCCAGAGAAUUGGAGACAGGAACUUUGUCUUUUACAGCUGGUCCUUUCCCUUUUCUACUGUGAAAUACUUCUAAACUUUAUCUCCACUACAAAGUGCAGGAACUUACUGGUACUUGGCUGAAUCAAAGGGAAGAAAUCGACCUUCAGAGGUCAUGUGGCCCAUCUACUGGCCUUCAGGCUAAACUGUCUUAAUCAUCUGAGAGAAAUGAUUAUCUCUCCACUUUCAAAGACUUCUAGGGAUGAAACCUGAAUAACCUGUCACAGUAAUACCCUCGAACAGAUCUGCCAGAAAGUUCUUGCUUUGUGUUUAACCUUAAUCUCUCAUGAGACACUCAGAAUCCUUUUUCUCUUAUUUUAUUCUCCACAAAGCUUGAGUACCACCUUCUGUGUAAGAAGACUCAGGAAGACAGAUUACUCAGAGCAAGCAAUAAGGAAGCGUGUGCCCUGGAAGUUUCUGGCAAGACUGAUUUAGAGAUGGACCUAUUGCAACUACUACUAUCUGACGCUAGGUGAUGGGCAUGUGGAGACAAUGAGUUCACAGUCACACGAGACACAAAGACAUGCACAUAAAAUUUAAUAUCACACUAACAAUAGAUAUCACUUAUGAAAUACCUAUUAUAAGCCAUGUAUUUUACAAAAUUUAUCUUUCAUCUUUAAAAUAAAGUUGCAAUAAAGCUGUUAUGUCUAUUUCAUAAAUUUAGGUUUAAAAACAACACUUUUCUGCCAUUUAAGAAAACAAGCUCUCACCAUGUCUACUGUGUUUUGUGAAAUAGUCUUAGUAUGAAUUUAGGAGGUUCAGAGACCAUCUUUUUCAUUCAACAUCUGUUCGGCAGAUAUUUACAGAGCACUCACUAUGUGCUGGGCCUUGGAAUGCAGCAGCAAACAAGAUUCGGUCUUUGUGAUAAACCAUGUUGAGUCUAGUGCACAAGUGAGACAAGUGUCAACAGGGAAAUGGAACACGAUGAUACGGAGAAACCCAGAGUUCUGCAGGAACAUGGAGGUGGGAUACCUGAACCAGUUUUGGGGGACAUGGGAAGAUUCCUGAAAGAAGAAAUGCCUCAACUGACAACUAAGAGAAAAGCCAGACAAAGAUGAAGAAAAAAAUCAUUCUAAGCAGAACAGCAGCAUUCAUUCUGGGUUAGUAAUAAGAAAGCAGCUAAUCAGAGCCAUAAAGUUUAGACACUGUCUAAAUCACAUGGCUAGAAAUGCAUGGAAUCAGGAUAGAAGUCUAGUUACUCUGAAAGCCAAGUGUAGAUUUUUUUCAACACCACCUGCUUUUCACUACCAUCUAAUUUAACUGUCAAUCAGUACAUUCUCAGAAUAAUAUGAGAUAUGUUUGGGUACUUUAAAAAAAAAGCCAUGUAAUUCAGAAUCAAAAGGAGAUGACGAGAGGUAAGAUAACUGAUAACCAACAUCUAAGAGAAAAAGCCAGAGACACUUCUGGGGUGCCUGAAAAGUUCUCCUCAUGGUUACGUGGGUGUAUACAUAUGUUAACGUGCACUGAACUAUUUUUUUUCAGAUAAAUAAAAAUUUAUGCUCUUUGCAGUAUGUACAUUAUAUCUCAGUAAAAGGAAAAAAUCUAAAAGAAAAAUCCCUAAUUUAUAUGUUAGAAGAACCAAGAGGCAUUUAUUGUUGCCUGUUUAACAUGCAUCUUCACCUUCUUUCUUACCAACAGAUCCCUUACAAUGCUAGGGAUUGGGCACUAGUGAUAACAUAUCAAUCCUUUUGCAGAUGAAGUAGUCAACGAGAUAGAAGCAAAAUUUACGGUGUGAAGCUUCUAGGAAAUUUCCUAACAGAAGACCAACUCACCUAGCAGGCAUGGCUUUCCACUCUUCCCCCUGCUUCCUGACUGAACCUCAACUUGGCAGCUGGAAGUAUAAUAGCCACUGUGAAUGAGAAGAGCGUUGGGAUAGAAGCCAGGGUGAAGGAGUGUGGAAGAGAAGGGCAGAAGCAGCCUGGAUUCUUAGUAACUACAGAAAGCUGUCACAUGAGCUUGGAGCCGAUUACAUCCUUGCAUGAGAGAAAAAUAAAACAUCUAAUUUGGUUGAAUUUAUGAUUAAUUCAUAGUUUAACCCAGCCCUAAAAAAUAGAGCAAUGCAUUUGGAAAUAAGGUGUGUGAGUAUCCCUGUAUUUUUCCGACAUAGAGAUAGCUAACCUUAUUUUCUUAUUUUAACAGGAACAGCAAUGUCCUGCUACUCUUCCUACGACAAAGUUGCUUAAAAGGUUGCAGAUGGUUCUACGGAAUUGAAAAAAAAUUAUGAAUUUUUAUUAGAUUCCAAGAAAAAGGAGACAAGGAGAAUAAUGUUUGCCUUAUGAGAACUGCCUCAGUUCCCACUGUGCCUCUUUCCUCCUCCAACACACCCAAGUCCACCACUCCGGGAAGCCUCAGCAAUGCCCGGGCGUGCAGCUCACAGAGCAUGUGCUGCCGUCCAUGUGCGAGGUCUGUGCAAUGCCGUAUUUACUUUUAUAGACUCGAGUUUUCAUGUUUAAGCAGGUUUCUCCAUCUUACUGUAAUCAUUUUAGAAGAUGGCAUAGAAUAGUUAACCAGGCUUUGAAGCCAAACGAACAUAUAUCAGAAAUUAGGCUUCAGCAUUUACUCUCUGUCAGCUUAAAAUUCAUUCAAUUUCUCAUCUGUAAAAGUUAAAAAAAAUCUUUCAUAAGACUGUUGUAAAGUUUAAAUGAAAUCAUGUGUUAUAUACCUAUAUGAAGGACAGUUGUUGUUAAUGAUAUUAAAGCAGAAGUCCUUUUUAAAUGAGUAAUUUUCCUCAGAGUCCUUACUUUUGUGGUCAUACAAUCUACUCAGCAAACAUUCAUUGUUGCCUGAAAAGUAAGGACCUGGAACCGGACCUGGGUGCGGGCAGUGGACAGGGUUCUGUCGAGAGUCAAAGAUAGCAGUGAACGUGUACUCAACGUCAGUGACCAGUGAUAACCUAAGUGGACAUGACAUGCUGGUCUGGAUCAAUUAGCCUCUGCAGUUGAAGAGUUGUGCUCAGGGGCUGCCUAGUGUUAGUUUAUGGACAUGCUGUUCCCUGGCUCCAUUGCCUUGAAGAAAGUGAAAUUCUAAGCUAAGCUAGAACAUGGGUGCAUCCAGAACUUCAAAAUACUACAAGUAGGUCUUAAGAGGAUGGGUGUUGACAAAAUAAUUCCUGUGGACAAAUUAGUAAAAGGAAAGUUUCACGAAAACUCUGAAUUUGUUCAGCGGUUCAAGAAGUUUUUUGAUGCAAACUAUGGUGGAAAAAGACUAUGACCCUGUGGCUGCCAGACAAGGUCAAGAAUUUGCAGUGGCUCCCUCUCUCAUUGCUCCAGCUCUGAAUAAACCCAAGAAACCUCUCAGUCCUAGCAGUGCAGCUCCCCAGAGGCCCAUCUCAACACAGUGAACUGCUGCGGCUCCUAAGGCUGGCCCUGGCAUGGUGUGAAAGAACCCCGGUGCGCGCAACGGGGACGACAGGCAGCUGAGUUGGUGCAGCAGUCAACGUACUGAAAAUUACUGUUGAAGACUUGGAGAAAGGGAGGGAUUUCUAUUUUGGAAAGCUAUGGAACAGUGAAUUGAUUUGCCAGGAGAACGAGGGGGAAAAUGACCCUGUAUUGCAGAGGACUGCAGACAUUCUGUAUGUCACAGAUGAAGGGACAUCUGAUGAAGGAGGCCCACAGGAGCAAGAAGAGUAUUAACAGCCUGGACCAGCAGAGCAACAUCUGAAUUCUUCACUUCAUGUGCUUAACUAUAAAAUACUCCCUUUUAUUAUCCUUAGAGGACUCACUGGUUUCUUUUCACAAGCAGAAAGUGCCUCUUCUUAGGGUUCACCUGGUUCACCUCGGACACAAAGAGGCUGACUGUGGGGCUCACCGUGCAGAUGCGGGUCACACUGAGUACUGGAGAAGGUGUUAUGUAAUAUGCUGAGGCAGCGACCUCAGUGGAGAAAUGGAAAGGCUCAAUUGAAUUUUUAAGCUAAUGUGAAAUCAGAGAACGCUGUAAUAAAUAAAUGCCUUAAGAGUAUUUAAAAUAUGCUUCCAUAUUUCAAAAUAUAAAAUGUAACAUUACAGGAGAUACUGUGUUUGACACUGUGUUUGGGAAGGAAGGGCCAGACCUUGGAACCUUUGGAACCUGCUGUCACAGGUCUUAUAGGGCUGCUUGAAGCCUCAUAGGCCUAGGCUUUGGUCUAAAAUGAAUAUUUAAAAAGUUGUCCUGUAAAGCCACUUGGUGUCAUUGGUCAAUUGCAUCCUUGCUAAAAAGCAAGAGGCAUUGUUUCCUGGAUAACAGAGGAUGUGUUUCAGCCCACAACAUAGAGAUGUUCGAGUUGAAGAGCUUGGUUUUCAUUAAGUAUUUCUCUGUUUUUCCAGUUAUCCCCAAAAUUUCUAUGUAUUACAUUUUUGGGGAAGUGAAGUGUGCCCAGAUUUUUAAUCUAACAACUACUUUUGGGGACUUCCCCACAUCUCUGGGAUUUGAAUGGGGAUUGUAUCCCAUUUUACUGUCUUUUAGGUUUACAUUGACCACGUUUCUCUUCUCUGCUCCCCUUGCUCACUGGGGACUCCUCUUUGGCUCCCUGAAGUUUGCUGCUUAGAGCUGGAAGUGAAGCAGGCAAGUGACCAUGCUGCAAUUCUUUCUGGACAUCUGGCAAAGGGAGUGGUCAGUGAAAGCCAUCGUUACCUUGGGAUCUGCAAGGCUGGGGUAUUUUUGGUAUCUGCUGUCCACAGCUCUCCACUGUAAUCUGAAUACUUUGCCAGUGCACUAGUUUCUUUGGAGAUAAAAUGCAUUGGUGUGUGGCUAAAUGUUAAUUUUCUUUUGCAGAAAAUAUAAUAUCGUGUCUAAAUUAAUUAUUAAUAUUUAAAAUAUUUCAUUCCUUAACGCUCCCUCAUUUGCAGGAUUCUGGAAAAUGUGUCUCACCCACUACUGAGAUUGUUUAGCCCCUGAUGUAUCUAUAUUGAUUAGUUUCUGGUGGUAGCUUGUCCUAAAAUGUGUGUAGAAGGCAAGUGUUCUAUGAUAAAAUUGUUGUGUAGUGCGUGCUGUGUGGAGUUCAGAGGAAACCCAGAUUCAGUGAUUAACAAUGCCAAAAAAUGUGUGUAGAAAGCAAGUGUUAUACGAUAAAACUGUGGUGUACUGCGUGCUGUGUGGAGUUCAGAGGAAAACCAGACUCAGUGAUUAACAAUGCCAAAAAAUGCGAGUAACUAGCCAUGGUUCAAACGGCAGUGGUGCUGUUUCUCUUUUGCGGCCUUUUAGACUUUAAUUGUCCUAAAAUUCCAUUUUAUUGGGAACCCAUUUUCCACUUGGUCUUUCUUGACAAGGUUUUUUUUUCACUUUAAACAGUUUCUAAAUAAAAUUCUAUACUUCAAGAGUAAAAAAAUAAAAAUAAAAAAAAGUAAGGAACUUAGGUGACACAACCCUAAAGAAAUACCAACAACUAACAGUUUCCUUUUGUUUGCUCAGUACUCUGCACUUCAUAAUUUUAUUUGACUUUCAGGAAGGUGAAUAUUAAUUUGCCUACUCACUUUAUUAGUUAAGCAUAAAGUUUACUGUGCGGCUCACUCAAGGUCACACAAUAAAUGACAGUCAGGAUUCAAAUUCGGACAUGUCUUUUGACUCAAGCUUCAGUAUUUUUACUGUAGCUUGUUAGUUAAUUUCAAACUUCAAUUAAUUUCUCAUAAACGCUAACAAGAAAACUAAGAUUUCUUAUGAAGAGACACAAGGGAACAGAUCCUUAUCACUUAUUUUUUUCUGGCAAAGAAUGACUUACAAAAUACUAUCAAUUAUAGAUACUGUCACUAGAUAUCACGAGUAAUUUUAAUGACAAUUCUUUGCACGAAGUAUUGAAACUACUUAUUAGAAUUUCAUGGAACCUAACAUUGAGAAACCAGGUUGAAAUACUGGGGACGUGUAAGAAGAAGAACUGUUACCACAGACUGAGGUUCCAGGGAACGUCUGGAGAGUAGAAAAGGGGUCAGAGAUUGGCUACCAAGUGACAGGGAGGCUGGGAAGGCUGCCGCAAAUGAAAUAUGUGCUUAGAAGUUCAAAAACUAUACAACAACUUUGGGGAAAGACCAAGAUCAAGGUUGGGUUCCUUAAGCCUAUUUUUUUUGUACUUCUGUUUUUGAUUCCCCAAGUCCAACUACAUUGGGAGUCAAGGCAUGGAAUCUUUUGGUAUUGGAUUCCUUGGCUCUUCCCAUACCAUUAGAAAUGGUCCAUCAACAUGUUAUGAGCCAGGUUACAGUAUUUCUCUGGAUCAUUUGUUAAUCUUGCAUUUGUUUUUGCAGCCAAUCCUUCCAUCUGGUAUACUAAGGUAUCUUUUUGAGGAGAUUUCUGAUAAACACAUUUGAUAUUCAGAUUUCAAAGCCAUAUCCAUUACUCUUUAGGAAAAUACUGAUUGUGAUCUGCAAUAUUUACACAUGUGAAAUAAUUAUUCCUUUUGAUUUUUUAUGGGAUUGUCGGCAUCUUCCUUUGACACAAUGUUAGGGCAGCAAAUGGUUUUUAGUGUUCCUGGGGAAUCUGGUGGCACACUAACUUACAUCAAUCUGCAUAUCAAAUUAUACAGGCUCACUCUUCAAAUAUGCAGCAUUAAAAGCAUUUAAACUAUGAUACUUACAGUACUUUAAUCAGAUAAGAAAUGUGAUAAGAAUACCUACUUUGUUUUAAAAUUACUGAUGUAAAGUAAAAUUCUACCUCUCCACAUUUUAUUCAAUAAAUAUUUAUUGAGCACUACGUAUGUUCCAGCACUGUGGCAGGCACUGGGGGAGGUGACAGUGAAUAGAUUUUAAAAAGAAGACAGACAUUGAUCAAAUAAUCACCUCAAUAUAAAAUUGCAGUUAUGAUGGAAAACUGCUGGGUAUUAUGAGAGCAUGUAAUUAUACGGAAACAAUCACAUGGGCUGCAGCAGGGAGACGUGAUAGCUCAGGACUGGAGUGGAGGUGGGCAAGCAGCAGCCAGGUCCGGGUGCUCCACAAGCAUGGUGACCUUCACUUGGACCAGUGUGCAGGCUACGGGCAUGGGGAGCACCUUCAUUGAUAAAAACCAAAACAAACAAACAAAAAACUGUGGAACUCCUGAGCCUGGUAUUAAGGUCCAUCACAAAAUGUUCUCUAUGGAUCUCUCUAUAGACACUUAGUGCACCUACCUUCCUAGGCACAGCAGGCUGCAGCCUCACUGAAAAACUGGUCACUACCAGCGCACACCAAGUCAACAGGACCACUGAAUGUUUUUUUUUUUUUUGCUCUUCUGCACAAAAACCUCCUUUGGUUUGCCUGGUAGAACGGUCAUCUAUUACUGACGACAGUUUAGAAUAUACCCACUAAACAACAACUCACUAUCUUAGGUGCUUAAGAAAUGCUGAUGAACAAAAAAGGAUGAAGAUUCCUGCCCUUGCAGAGCUUAAAUGUGAAUAGCGACAGUUUGAAGUAUGUUGGGCACAUUAGGCUUCAUUGAGAAGAUGAUGUAAGAUCUGCAAAAGCCUUCUGUUAGAAGUGUGUCUUAUGUAUUCUAUCAUUCUUAAAGUUACAAUUUUCUUUCAUUUGAAUUCAUAACUUCAAAUUCUGAACAGAAAACUUCAAAUUUCCCUUUGGAAUAAGGUAUUUUUGAACAAUUUGGCCCAUCGCAGGUCUCAAUAGUUGUCUGGGGAAUGAAUGAAUGGAAGACAUUAUAAAAAGGCCAAUAAUUUAUUUUUGGAAGAAACAAGUAUUUCCUUAGCAACUCUCUGGUAGGCACUGUGCAAAGUGCUUUACACAUAUUAUCUAAUUUAUAUAGUACUUAUUACUCAAGAAGAGUAGUUCUCAACCUUUGGCUGCUUAUCAGAAUUAUCUGUAGAGUUUAAAGAAUUUAUAGAUAGCUCUGCUAAACCAAGACUCAGAUUAAAAAAUAACAGGUGAUUUUCUUGGCACCCUUUUUUUUUUUUUAAGGCUGCAUAGGUGACCUUCUAUGUAGCCUGAGUUGAAGACUACAUCAAUCUUCACAUUAGACUUACAAUGGUACCAGAUUUCUUACUGUGUUUCUAAUAAAGAAAUGUUUACAACAGAUGCAGACUUACAUGUUAUCAAUUCAACUGAAAAACACACACAGAUCACCUUUCUGAUCAGUACUGCAUUAGGUGCUGGUGAUAUAAACAUGAGUACAAAAGGGUCCCUGCUACUGUGGGACUCUUCAUGAAAAGGAGAUGGAUUCUCAACAGUCCGGCAGGUUCUGCUGGAGGACAGAGCAAGCAUAGAGCACCGUGGAAAUAUAGAAGCCUUAAAGAACGGGAUGUGAGGAGAGGAGAAUCACCAACCGUUGUUGGAUGAUAUAACUACUGAUCCAAGAAACUGGUAGCUCUGUUGCAAGUAAUCUGGCAAAGACUAAAAUACAAAGAAAGGCAAAUUGUCCUGUUUGCACCGUUUUAGAAAAUUCUAAAAAUCACAGUAUCUUCAAAAGGUAUAUGUCAGAUUAACUAAGUAGCCAUAAAGAUUUUGAUGACAAUGUACUUUCACAAGUUAGACUUCACAUUUUAAUAGGUAAUUGAGACAAGUAUAAAUGAGCCAUAACCGAGAAACUCAGUAUUAGGUUACAUUACAUAAGUGAGUGACCUGAGAUGAAGGAACUGGGGCCAAGUCAGGAAGGGCUUUGCUAGCGGGUGUGGUGGCUCACACCUGUAAUCCCAGCAAUUUGGGAGGCUGAGGCGGACAGAUCACUUUGCACUCAAAAG